AUGAUUUAAUUAAAUAGCCGCAGUACCCUGACUGUGCAAAGGUAGCAUAAUAAAUUGUCCUUUAAUUGAGGUCAUGAAUGAAGGAAAUAACGGGGAAAUACUGUCUUCAAUUAAUUUUUUUUAUAAUUUACUCAUUAGGUGAAAAUUCCUAUAUAAAUAACUGAAAGACGAGAAGACCCUAAGAGUUUUUUAUAUAAAGAAUAAUAUUCUUAUUAUUUUGUUGGGGCGACAUAUUUACAUUUUUAUUAUAUAUAUUUUUUAAUAAUAUAUAUUAUAUUUAUAAACUUAAUAAUUAAUUAAUAAAUAAAACGGAAUAAUUUCAAUAAUAAUAAAACUACCUUAGGGAUAACAGCAUAAUUAUUUUAAUAGAUUGUGACCUCGAUGUUGGAUUAGGUAAUUUUUAAAUCAAAAAUGUAAAAAGUUAGUUCUGUUCGAACAAUUAUAACCUACGU
RNAcentral lists this ribosomal RNA (452 nucleotides) under Oreohelix variabilis (Dalles mountainsnail). RNAcentral's name for it is "partial 16S large subunit ribosomal RNA". The record is from RNAcentral. Lineage: Eukaryota; Metazoa; Mollusca; Gastropoda; Stylommatophora; Oreohelicidae.